This is a non-coding RNA of Paramuricea clavata, 348 nucleotides long. NCBI's taxonomy places the organism in Eukaryota, Metazoa, Cnidaria, Anthozoa, Malacalcyonacea, Plexauridae. The record is from the annotation of a GenBank genome assembly.
GCCUUUGUGCAUUUGUACGCCCGUUUCGCACGGCCAUCUUGAACUCAGAAUAAACCAUUAUCAGUUUAAAUCCCUUAGGUAAUAGUGUAAUAAGAUUUAUGCGGCUCAUGUUCAAACAUUACAAUAAUUUACCUCAUCAUUCCCAUCUUUAUAGUCUUCUGUAACUGGCUCAUCUGUGUCUGGUUUGUGUGCCCCUUCUUUAGGAAGUGGGAUUUUAUCACCAAUGCUCUGCUCAGCAGCGACUGAUUGCGCAUUUGCGCAAAACAACGCGCAAGCGAAAAGCGUUGCGACUGUCAGGGAUCUCAUGACUGCUCUUGAGACACCCAGACAACAAUGUGAAAAUUUGCC